This 92-nucleotide small RNA is filed under the name Arabidopsis thaliana (thale cress). RNAcentral describes it as "ATSL083090". Lineage: Eukaryota; Viridiplantae; Streptophyta; Magnoliopsida; Brassicales; Brassicaceae. The record is from RNAcentral.
UUUCAGGAAUUUGAAGUCGGAGAAGAUAGCACAAUCCAUUAAGGUUAGAUGAUUCUUCUUUUAAUCUUGUCAUUAAAGUUCUAUAGUGUUGU